CAUUAAAGUGGUGGCGUCUCUGGGAGAUUCAAUCACUGCCGGCUUUGGUGCAAAAGCUGAAAACCUUCUGCAGUUAGCGGAUGAGGAGCGAGGGGUUUCCUGGAGCAUUGGUGGAGAUGAUACUUUGGAGACUGUCACCACAUUGCCAAACAUUCUUAAGAAGUUCAAUCCUAAUGUUUUCGGCUUCUCAAAGGGGAAAAGUAAACGACCCAAUGGCUUCAAUAUGGCAGUGAGUGGUGCCAAAGCAAAUAAUAUACCAGCA
This 262-nucleotide long non-coding RNA is filed under the name Sinocyclocheilus anshuiensis. Its description in RNAcentral is "lncRNA (ENSSANG00000033159.1)". Lineage: Eukaryota; Metazoa; Chordata; Actinopteri; Cypriniformes; Cyprinidae. The record is from RNAcentral.